GACGAACGCUGGCGGCGUGCUUAACACAUGCAAGUCGAGCGGUAAGGCCCUUUCGGGGGUACACGAGCGGCGAACGGGUGAGUAACACGUGGGUGACCUGCCCUCAGCUCUGGGAUAAGCCCGGGAAACUGGGUCUAAUACUGGAUAUGACUCCACGGUGCAUGCCGUGGGGUGGAAAGCCUUGUGCGGCUGAGGAUGGGCCCGCGGCCUAUCAGCUUGUUGGUGGGGUGAUGGCCUACCAAGGCGACGACGGGUAGCCGGCCUGAGAGGGCGACCGGCCACACUGGGACUGAGACACGGCCCAGACUCCUACGGGAGGCAGCAGGUGGGGAAUCUUGCGCAAUGGGCGAAAGCCUGACGCAGCGACGCCGCGUGAGGGAUGAC
Molecule: ribosomal RNA, 384 nt
Filed under: uncultured bacterium
Lineage: Bacteria
Description: bacterial SSU rRNA
Rfam family: Bacterial small subunit ribosomal RNA
Source: RNAcentral